AGCAGCCGCGGUAAUUCCAGCUCCAAUAGCGUAUAUUAAAGUUGCUGCAGUUAAAAAGCUCGUAGUUGAAUUUCGGGACUAAUAUGUCGGUCGUGCCUCGGUACGUACUGGUUUAUUGGUUUUUCCUUUCUGAAGAACCAUGAUGUCAUUUAUUUGGUGUCGUGGGGAAUCAGGACUGUUACUUUGAAAAAAUUAGAGUGUUUAAAGCAGGCUCACGCUUGAAUACAUUAGCAUGGAAUAAUGAAAUAGGACGUUUGAUUCUAUUUUGUUGGUUUCUAGGAUCGACGUAAUGAUUAAUAGGGAUAGUUGGGGGCAUUAGUAUUCAAUUGUCAGAGGUGAAAUUCUUGGAUUUAUUGAAGACUAACUACUGCGAAAGCAUUUGCCAAGGAUGUUUUCAUUAAUCAAGAACGAAAGUUAGGGGAUCGAAGACGAUCAGAUACCGUCGUAGUCUUAACCAUAAACUAUGCCGACUAGGGAUCGGAUGAUGUAAUUUUUAAUGACUCAUUCGGCGCUUUACGGG
RNAcentral lists this ribosomal RNA (520 nucleotides) under uncultured Glomus. RNAcentral's name for it is "SSU rRNA". It matches the Rfam family "Eukaryotic small subunit ribosomal RNA", at positions 569 to 1094 of the family's 1831-position model. Lineage: Eukaryota; Fungi; Glomeromycota; Glomeromycetes; Glomerales; Glomeraceae. The record is from RNAcentral.